AUGUUCAACAUGUCUGUCAGCCUGUAUAUAUCUGAGUAUAUAUUCAACAUGUCUGUCAGCCUGUAUAUAUCUGAGUAUAUAUUCAACAUGUCUGUCAGCCUGUAUAUAUCUGAGUCUAUGUUCAACAUGUCUGUCAGCCUGUAUAUAUCUGAGUCUAUGUUCAACAUGUCUGUCAGCCUGUAUAUAUCUGAGUCUAUGUUCAACAUGUCUGUCAGCCUGUAUAUAUCUGAGUCUAUGUUCAACAUGUCUGUCAGCCUGUAUAUAUCUGAGUCUAUGUUCAACAUGUCUGUCAGCCUGUAUAUAUCUGAGUCUAUGUUCAACAUGUCUGUCAGCCUGUAUAUAUCUGAGUCUAUGUUCAACAUGUCUGUCAGCCUGUAUAUAUCUGAGUAUAUAUUCAACAUGUCUGUCAGCCUGUAUAUAUCUGAGUCUAUAUUCAACAUGUCUGUCAGCCUGUAUAUAUCUGAGUCUAUGUUCAACAUGUCUGUCAGCCUGUAUAUAUCUGAGUCUAUGUUCAACAUGUCUGUCAGCCUGUAUAUAUCUGAGUCUAUGUUCAACAUGUCUGUCAGCCUGUAUAUAUCUGAGUCUAUGUUCAACAUGUCUGUCAGCCUGUAUAUAUCUGAGUCUAUGUUCAACAUGUCUGUCAGCCUGUAUAUAUCUGAGUCUAUGUUCAACAUGUCUGUCAGCCUGUAUAUAUCUGAGUCUAUGUUCAACAUGUCUGUCAGCCUGUAUAUAUCUGAGUCUAUGUUCAACAUGUCUGUCAGCCUGUAUAUAUCUGAGUCUAUGUUCAACAUGUCUGUCAGCCUGUAUAUAUCUGAGUAUAUAUUCAACAUGUCUGUCAGCCUGUAUAUAUCUGAGUCUAUAUUCAACAUGUCUGUCAGCCUGUAUAUAUCUGAGUCUAUGUUCAACAUGUCUGUCAGCCUGUAUAUAUCUGAGUCUAUGUUCAACAUGUCUGUCAGCCUGUAUAUAUCUGAGUCUAUAUUCAACAUGUCUGUCAGCCUGUAUAUAUCUGAGUCUAUGUUCAACAUGUCUGUCAGCCUGUAUAUAUCUGAGUCUAUGUUCAACAUGUCUGUCAGCCUGUAUAUAUCUGAGUCUAUGUUCAACAUGUCUGUCAGCCUGUAUAUAUCUGAGUCUAUAUUCAACAUGUCUGUCAGCCUGUAUAUAUCUGAGUCUAUAUUCAACAUGUCUGUCAGCCUGUAUAUAUCUGAGUCUAUGUUCAACAUGUCUGUCAGCCUGUAUAUAUCUGAGUCUAUGUUCAACAUGUCUGUCAGCCUGUAUAUAUCUGAGUCUAUAUUCAACAUGUCUGUCAGCCUGUAUAUAUCUGAGUCUAUGUUCAACAUGUCUGUCAGCCUGUAUAUAUCUGAGUCUAUGUUCAACAUGUCUGUCAGCCUGUAUAUAUCUGAGUCUAUAUUCAACAUGUCUGUCAGCCUGUAUAUAUCUGAGUCUAUGUUCAACAUGUCUGUCAGCCUGUAUAUAUCUGAGUCUAUGUUCAACAUGUCUGUCAGCCUGGGUGGGGGUGUAGGUCCUGUAUGUUGUUGA
Molecule: long non-coding RNA, 1536 nt
Filed under: Oncorhynchus mykiss (rainbow trout)
Lineage: Eukaryota; Metazoa; Chordata; Actinopteri; Salmoniformes; Salmonidae
Description: lncRNA (ENSOMYG00000055375.1)
Source: RNAcentral